CCUACGAGGGGCAGCAGUGAGGAAUAUUGGUCAAUGGACGAGAGUCUGAACCAGCCAAGUAGCGUGAAGGAUGACUGCCCUAUGGGUUGUAAACUUCUUUUAUAUGGGAAUAAAAUGUUCCACGUGUGGGAUUUUGUAUGUACCAUAUGAAUAAGGAUCGGCUAACUCCGUUCCAGCAUCCGCGGUAAUACGGAGGGUCCGAGCGUUAACCGGAUUUGUUGGGUUGACAGGGAGCGUAGGUGGAUUGUUAAGUCAGUUGUGAAAGUUUGCGGCUCAACCGGAAAAUUGCAGUUGAAACUGGCAGUCUUGAGUACAGUAGAGGUGGGCGGAAGUCGUGGUGUAGCGGUGAAAUGCUUAGAUAUCACGAAGAACUCCGAUUGCGAAGGCAGCUCACUGGACUGCAACUGACACUGAGGCUCGAAAGUGUGGGUAUCAAACAGGAUUAGAUACCCCGGUAGUC
RNAcentral lists this ribosomal RNA (460 nucleotides) under uncultured bacterium. RNAcentral's name for it is "partial 16S ribosomal RNA". It matches the Rfam family "Bacterial small subunit ribosomal RNA", at positions 338 to 795 of the family's 1533-position model. The record is from RNAcentral.